CUGCGGGUCGGCGAGGUGGAUCGCCUCGGCGAUGUCGCCGACGCUCGCCGUGGCGUCGGCGGUGAUCUGGAGGUUCGACGCCGAUCCCCCGGG
Molecule: transfer RNA, 93 nt
Filed under: Herbiconiux flava
Lineage: Bacteria; Bacillati; Actinomycetota; Actinomycetes; Micrococcales; Microbacteriaceae
Description: tRNA-Asp
Source: RNAcentral